This is a long non-coding RNA of Eucalyptus grandis, 468 nucleotides long. RefSeq lists it as uncharacterized. Lineage: Eukaryota; Viridiplantae; Streptophyta; Magnoliopsida; Myrtales; Myrtaceae. The transcript has 3 exons. The record is from RefSeq and is a predicted model, not a curated record.
GCUGGAAUAAGAGAGUCCAUUCCUUGUGUCCAUUCGUUUUCCUGCUUGGCGCUUACUUCAUGCACUUCGUGCUCCGUAGGGCAAAUUCUAGAAAUGGAGUACUUGAUGUUGAAGACCUUAGGGUAUGACUUGUCAAUUUCGACUCCGUCCAUAUUUAUGUGGAAAUUCCUUGAUGAAACUCUCUCUGAUGAAAAGAUCAAGAACUUGUCCAGUUUCUUCAUUGAUCUCUGCCUAGUUCAGUAUGAAACAUGCACAUUUCGACCUUCAAUAUUAACUGCCGCUGCAAUUUACACCGCCCAUGCCACUGUUAGAAGGUGUAAGCCAUGCAGCCAAAUCUACGAGCAGUUAACCGAUUGUAGCGUCGGGCAAAUCUUGUAAGUAGCAAGAUACUUCAAUUUAUUAUUUAUUACAUCUUUAUGUCUUUGUUUAUCUUCUUUAGGGACUUGGGAAUCUGAUGGAUUAUUUCUU